Long non-coding RNA from Lathyrus oleraceus (garden pea), 930 nucleotides. RefSeq lists it as uncharacterized. The transcript has 2 exons. Lineage: Eukaryota; Viridiplantae; Streptophyta; Magnoliopsida; Fabales; Fabaceae. The record is from RefSeq and is a predicted model, not a curated record.
UCCUAAAAACAACAAAUAAAAACAAAGUCCAAAACACAGCAGGAUGGGGUGUAGGACUCAGGGGCAUGCACAUAUCAAGUUUGUCGUUUGAGCCUUAGGCCAAAGCCUGAUCUUCCCAUGUUUAAUAAGCCAAAGUCCUUGUCAAAAUACCAAAUGCAGAAACGGGAAGGGAAAACGUGGCCGACGAUGAACUUCGAUGCAACCUCCAUCAUGUCCGCCGUCGAAUAGCGGCACCUCCGUUUCUCCAUAGAAGGCUUCACUGUGCUCGCACCGGGGUCACAAUCACGCGACUUCUGCUCCCGAUUCGCCGUUUGCGUUCGCACCGUAAUCACCUUACGCACCUCAUUGCAUUUCGUGGAGCAUCUUUUCUGAUUCCGCAUCGACACCGUAUCGCAAACGUCGAUGGUGCUUUGGGUUCAGCAAUCAUCGCAUCUCCGAUGUUGCAUUCAAGAGCGAUAACACAGAUAACAUCUAAGACAUCACACAUAGAGGCGAAGACUCACCGUUUUGACGCGGCGGUGAACACAGGUACGCGUUCUGGUGCACUAGGGGGUUGGCCACUUCAGCAAGCUUGAUGUUACACAAUGAGUAUUACUUGCGGAUCAGCAAGGAGUGGAAUGAUUGUUUUGAGCGAUCUUAAUUUGGAGCUGAGUUUCAAUUGGUGUGAAGAAGAUCCACCAUGCUGCCUAGGAUUACUUGGCCGUGCUUGGAAUUCCUUUGUUGUAGGUGGCUUCACCAAGUUAUGUAAAAAACCAAAUGGUACUCUCAUGUUAUCCUCAUACUAUAAAACUGAAUCCUUUUCUCUGUACUUGGAGUCUUGGUUCCAACAUUUUAAAUGAAUGUGAAUAAAAGUUUAGAAUGGACAUUGGGCUGGACACGGCUAUGAAUGUUUGUGAGAUUAGUAAUGGCAAGUGGAUCUAUUGGUUGAAA